RNAcentral lists this microRNA precursor (179 nucleotides) under Oryza brachyantha (malo sina). Its description in RNAcentral is "MIR812 microRNA precursor family". It matches the Rfam family "MIR812 microRNA precursor family", at positions 19 to 191 of the family's 205-position model. The record is from Rfam by way of RNAcentral. Lineage: Eukaryota; Viridiplantae; Streptophyta; Magnoliopsida; Poales; Poaceae.
UUUAUUUUUUCGUGUCCAACGUUUGAUCAUUCGUCUUAUUUGAAAAUUUUGUACAAAAUCUUAAAAAAAUAGUCACAUAUAAAGUACUAUUCAUAUUUUAUCAUCUAAUAAUAAUAAAAAAAUUAAUCGUAAAAAAAUUUAAAUAAGACGAAUGGUCAAACGUUAGACACGGAAAAACA